ACUGGACUGGCACAAGCUCAUGGCUUAACCCACAGGAGGAGACGGGGCCUGGGCAAGAAGUGUAGGAUGGGAAAAUGUCCCAGCCAGGGGUCAACCGGGACUGUCAUUGGAAAUCUGAGUGGCUCUACAUCUCUGCAUUCCAAUUCUGGGAAGACAUAAGGUUUGGGGAGGCACUCACUCCCGCGACUCUGGACAAUUGAGAGCCUGCUGCCUCCAGUGAUGGGAGGUUGAUGACACCAUCGGGAGUCAAAUGCACCAGAGCAGGGAAAGCCUGUCCCCAGCUGUCCUGUGGAGCCUGUGCCAGCCUCUUGAGGGGACAGAAGGAAGUGGGCCUCCAAGUUCUGUGACACACUGAGAAGCACCCCAUCAAUCAGGUCCAUCAAGGCCACAGCCAUGCCUUGGCCACCAUCGUUGGGGGUCUCCCCAGAAGAAACUAAUAAGCAUGCACUGCAAAAAAAGGGACCAGGCUGAGGUAGUCCAGAAUACAAUUUAUUGUGUUGGUGGUCCUUGGAGGCUCCCCCGACUCCCCUCUUUUCCUUUUGCCCUCUUCUAACCUUACCUUUCCUCCAGUCUCCCGCUCUUCUUCCUCAUGUAUUCAAAGCUGCAGAGAACCAAAAAAAAGAAGAAAAAAAAAAAAAAGGCAUGUUGGUAAAUGCAAAGAAGCAGAUGGGUUGGCACGUGGGAAGAGAACUGCUUCUUUGUCUCGCCUACAGAGCGGGGGUGACUUCCUUGUGUGCUCCUGCCUGGUGUGUGGGUACAAUCUGCUGAACCCUAGGCAUAUGACAUGCUCCCCCCAACCCCAAACAGCCCUGGAGUGCCCUAUUUAGGCCAUCCAUCAUCCAUGGACAGAAGGCUCUUGGCUUGGCUGCCAGACCUGGCUCUUCUGGGCCUACGUAAUACCGAAGGGUGAGCUUGGGAAGGACUCCCGGGCCUAUACAAACAGCUCAGGAAGAACAUCUAUCAUUUGGAAAAGAAGACUGUCAUUGACCUGCGAGAAGGGGCCUCUUGUUUCAGAAGGCUGCAGUGGGGUGUGCAAUGGGGUCACAGUUUAAGUUUAAUGUCAAUGGUCACGUCUCACUUAUCUCUGAAGACACCCAGGGCAUAUGGAUCUUCAAUAAGUACUGACUUGGAGCAGCUGAAUAAGCAGAUGAAUUGCCAUGCUAACACCAACGUUUCUAGCUAUUUCCUCUGAAUCUCCUUACAACUUUCUCCUCCACCUCCUCCUCAGGCAUCCUCUUAUAAACAUCACUCCACAGGAUUCCAUUCUAGGCCCUUUUCUCCUCUCUUUUGAAACGCACUCCCUGAACCACCUCAUCCAUUUCUCUGGCUUCCAUCUAUAUGCUGAGGCUGUAUGCCAGUGAUUCACACGGCUCUCUCACCUCCCGACCCCCAUAUCCAACUGCUGACUGGACACCUUUUGAACAGCAUUCUCAAAAUCAAACUUAUCUCAAAACCUGUUUCUCCUCCAGAACUUCUGGAGAAAGUACUCAGGUACUCAAGCCACACAACUGGGCCUCACCCUUGACUCUUUCCCUGUCCCCUCUUCCAGCCAUCAGAAUCUUCUCAAUUAAAUGCCCUAAAUAUUUCUAAAUUC
Balaenoptera ricei (Rice's whale) is the source of this 1594-nucleotide long non-coding RNA. RefSeq lists it as uncharacterized. Lineage: Eukaryota; Metazoa; Chordata; Mammalia; Artiodactyla; Balaenopteridae. The transcript is spliced from 2 exons. The record is from RefSeq and is a predicted model, not a curated record.